Molecule: unclassified non-coding RNA, 253 nt
Filed under: rhizosphere metagenome
Description: partial ribosomal RNA internal transcribed spacer region
Source: RNAcentral
GUAGGUGAACCUGCGGAAGGAUCAUUAGUGAUAUUGAAAAUCCAUUUUUCAAGUCUCUAUAUAUACCCUUUUGUCAACCAUACCUUUGUUGCUUCCACUGGACCGACAUCAUCAUUGUAUGUCGUCUGGCAUCUUGUAUGCUGGGGAGUGCCGGUGGAAAGAUUUACAAUUUAAACUUGUCUUUAGAAACACUUGUCUGACAACUUUAUUCUUUAAUAAGAUAAAACUUUCAACAACGGAUCUCUAGGCUCUU